CAGUAGCCGCGGUAAUACGUAGGGUGCGAGCGUUAAUCGGAAUUACUGGGCGUAAAGCGUGCGCAGGCGGUUCGUUAAGACAGAUGUGAAAUCCCCGGGCUCAACCUGGGACCUGCAUUUGUGACUGUAUAGCUAGAGUACGGUAGAGGGGGAUGGAAUUCCGCGUGUAGCAGUGAAAUGCGUAGAUAUGCGGAGGAACACCGAUGGCGAAGGCAAUCCCCUGGACCUGUACUGACGCUCAUGCACGAAAGCGUGGGGAGCAAACAGGAUUAGAUACCCGGGUAGUCCCUGUCUCUUAUAC
This 301-nucleotide ribosomal RNA is filed under the name uncultured bacterium. RNAcentral describes it as "partial 16S ribosomal RNA". It matches the Rfam family "Bacterial small subunit ribosomal RNA", at positions 509 to 807 of the family's 1533-position model. The record is from RNAcentral.